This 73-nucleotide transfer RNA is filed under the name Reticulibacter mediterranei. Its description in RNAcentral is "tRNA-Arg". It matches the Rfam family "tRNA". From Rfam's summary of the family: Transfer RNA (tRNA) molecules are approximately 80 nucleotides in length. Their secondary structure includes four short double-helical elements and three loops (D, anti-codon, and T loops). Lineage: Bacteria; Bacillati; Chloroflexota; Ktedonobacteria; Ktedonobacterales; Reticulibacteraceae. The record is from RNAcentral.
GUUCCCGUAGCUCAGUGGAUAGAGCACCGGUCUCCGGAACCGGGUGCGCAGGUUCGAUCCCUGUCGGGAACAC